UCUCCUGGAAAACGGGUGGUAAUGCCGGAUGCUCCAUCUCAUUGCAUGGUGUGUUGGGAAAGCCUUUGCGGCAUGGGAUGGGGUCGCGUCCUAUCAGCUUGAUGGCGGGGUAACGGCCCACCAUGGCUUCGACGGGUAGCCGGCCUGAGAGGGCGACCGGCCACAUUGGGACUGAGAUACGGCCCAGACUCCUACGGGAGGCAGCAGUGGGGAAUAUUGCACAAUGGGCGCAAGCCUGAUGCAGCGACGCCGCGUGAGGGAUGGAGGCCUUCGGGUUGUAAACCUCUUUUGUUAGGGAGCAAGGCAUUUUGUGUUGAGUGUACCUUUCGAAUAAGCACCGGCUAACUACGUGCCAGCAGCCGCGGUAAUACGUAGGGUGCAAGCGUUAUCCGGAAUUAUUGGGCGUAAAGGGCUCGUAGGCGGUUCGUCGCGUCCGGUGUGAAAGUCCAUCGCUUAACGGUGGAUCCGCGCCGGGUACGGGCGGGCUUGAGUGCGGUAGGGGAGACUGGAAUUCCCGGUGUAACGGUGGAAUGUGUAGAUAUCGGGAAGAACACCA
Molecule: ribosomal RNA, 556 nt
Filed under: Bifidobacterium breve
Lineage: Bacteria; Bacillati; Actinomycetota; Actinomycetes; Bifidobacteriales; Bifidobacteriaceae
Description: bacterial SSU rRNA
Rfam family: Bacterial small subunit ribosomal RNA
Source: RNAcentral